GACGAACGCUGGCGGCGUGCUUAACACAUGCAAGUCGAACGGAAAGGCCCUGCUUUUGUGGGGUGCUCGAGUGGCGAACGGGUGAGUAACACGUGAGUAACCUGCCCUUGACUUUGGGAUAACUUCAGGAAACUGGGGCUAAAACCGGAUAGGAGCUCCUGCUGCAUGGUGGGGGUUGGAAAGUUUCGGCGGUUGGGGAUGGACUCGCGGCUUAUCAGCUUGUUGGUGGGGUAGUGGCUUACCAAGGCUUUGACGGGUAGCCGGCCUGAGAGGGUGACCGGCCGCAUUGGGACUGAGAUACGGCCCAGACUCCUACGGGAGGCAGCAGUGGGGAAUAUUGCACAAUGGGCGGAAGCCUGAUGCAGCAACGCCGCGUGCGGGAUGACGGCCUUCGGGUUGUAAACCGCUUUCGCCUGUGACGAAGCGUGAGUGACGGUAAUGGGUAAAGAAGCACCGGCUAACUACGUG
RNAcentral lists this ribosomal RNA (468 nucleotides) under uncultured bacterium. RNAcentral describes it as "partial 16S ribosomal RNA". It matches the Rfam family "Bacterial small subunit ribosomal RNA", at positions 28 to 507 of the family's 1533-position model. The record is from RNAcentral.